RNAcentral lists this unclassified non-coding RNA (383 nucleotides) under soil metagenome. RNAcentral describes it as "partial contains 5.8S ribosomal RNA, internal transcribed spacer 2, and large subunit ribosomal RNA". The stretch from base 1 to 119 matches the Rfam family "5.8S ribosomal RNA", at positions 35 to 154 of the family's 154-position model. The record is from RNAcentral.
GAUGAAGAACGUAGCGAAAUGCGAUAAGUAAUGUGAAUUGCAGAAUUCAGUGAAUCAUCGAAUCUUUGAACGCACCUUGCGCUCCUUGGUAUUCCGAGGAGCAUGCCUGUUGAGUGUCAUUAAAUUCUCAACCUCACCCGUUUUCUGAACGGGUCGAGGCUUGGAUGUGGGGGUUUGUGCAGGCUGCCUCACUGGCGGUCUGCUCCCCUGAAAUGCAUUAGCGAGGUUCAUGCUGAACUUCCGUCUAUUGGUGUGAUAAUUAUCUACGCCGUGGACGAGGAUCAGACUCGCUUCUAACUGUCCGCGAGGACAAUACCUUGACAAUUUGACCUCAAAUCAGGUAGGACUACCCGCUGAACUUAAGCAUAUCAAUAAGCGGAGGA